RNAcentral lists this long non-coding RNA (4418 nucleotides) under Triticum aestivum (bread wheat). RNAcentral's name for it is "long non-coding RNA (TAES_LNC019624)". The record is from RNAcentral. Lineage: Eukaryota; Viridiplantae; Streptophyta; Magnoliopsida; Poales; Poaceae.
GCAGGGACAAAUUUGGUCCAUUUUUAACAUGAACUUUCAACAACACACUGAUAAAUCCGAUCUUUACUACUGUACAGGCUGAAGCAUCAGACGCCAUAUCAUCAAGUACUACUAAAACCAACAAAUCAUAAUCUUUAAGAUCAAUGGUGUCUAAACUAAGAACAUCAAAGGGCAUACAACACGAUCAAAUCAUAGUUUAAACAUCAUAUGUCAAACACAGGCAUGCAUCAGCAUGUACCAACAACACCUAGGGUGCAACACAAACAUCACUUAAAUUCGGUUUCUGCUUCCCAGCAUAGUUUCAGUUUCGCAACGACGCUGACACACAUGCAUCACUUCAGUUCCAUCGCAUCCCUGAAAGCAGCAAGUCAAUCAGAACAUUAGACAUACCAGUCAAACAAUUCACAACUACAAGAGUACUUCAAAUACUUUCGCAAGAAAGAAAAGGAACAGGGGGGAAAUAUGGCAUGGAGUCUGUUUCUUAUACUUCAUGAUCUGAAACAGAUGGACUCGCUCUCCUUUGUCAAAAAGUAUAACAAAAUUUAUAUGUGAUGUACUUGAGCCAGAUUUAACUUGAUGCAAACAGAGAAAAGCAAGCUCUAUCAUUAGGUCACAUAGAUAUCUCACAUCAAGUACUAGCACUGAAAACUCACGACUAAAAAUUUAUACGUACAGACCAUAUAUACACUGCAGAGAAAGGUUGACAGAAACUCUUUGCAUAUACACUGCAGAUCAUAUAUAUGUACAGAUCAAAACUAAAAAUUUAUAUGCACAAAACAUAUAUACAACUAAAAAAUUUGAUUUAGUAUGAUUGUUCACUACCAAAGUGUAUCUAUUUCUCUAACAAAAACACUACAAUUACUUUCUUGCUGAUUGCCCAACAGUAUGGUUCAGUUUCUUCCUGUUAUUUGCCCUUUAUUCAAAUUAGUAUGCAGACAAAGCAUUCAUUCACAAGAAAAACAUGUUUGUUCCAAGCUAAUCAGGAACAUGAGCUUAUGUAUAUUCUCAGUUCGGAGAUGAGAAAUUGAUUUCUAGCUAAUCAGGAAUAGGAGCUUAAGAACAAGACCAAGCAAGCAAGAACAUUAUGAACCAGAUCAAAAUACCUCUUCUAGGUAGGCAACUCAUCCAUUUCGCUCCGAAGCCACAUGACCGCACUCUCUUCUUGAAGUUUGAUGAACAUGUAAGAUAAGAAAGAGCUCGCUAUUACAUUAUAACAAAGAGCAUCAUAAAUGUUUGUUCUAAGCUAAUCAGGAAUAAGAACUUAAGUAUAUUCUUAGUUCAGACAUGUGCAUGCAUAUGCUCAGUUAGCAACCACAUAAAUAUACUACAACUAGUCAUCUCAGAUGAGAAAUUGAUUUCCAGCUCUUGUCUGCAUGUAUUUUACUCAUCUUAGCAAAUCACACCAGUAACAGUUAACUUCGACCAGUUUUGAAUUUCAUCAACAUCUAACACAAGACAUUGCCUGCUAUAUUUUUAGCACACAGUGUCAAAAUUAAUCAGACUGAUGAUAUACCAAUGAAACUUAUGUGCAGCAAAAUGAUUCUCUCCUCACAUUUCUGCACUACAUCCAAUUAUCAAUAUCUAAUACAAAAUGGUUGGCUGUAUUUUGUUACUUUGUUAUCAGAUAUGUACUAUAUGCUAAUAAUAAUGGGAUUUUUUUUACUAUGGAGUAUAAAAUCAGUACCGGAAGGUAGAGAUCCUACUUGAGCAUCUACAUGUAUAAUUUUAAGGCACACAUAAAUGACAUCAAAAAAGGGUUGGAGUUGUCUUGAAUAGUAGUCCAGAUCUAGCAGCAACUAACUUCAAAUAGGGGGAGGACGAAUGUGAUUGGGAAGCAGGCAGAGGAACAACAGGGAGGGCCUCUCACAGCGGUGGUACUGGAAAGGGGAGAGGAGCGUGGCUAUCAGGGACGGUGUGCUUGGCGAGCUCGCAGGGGAGGACGAGGCGAACGGCGGAUCGGCGGCGGCCAUAUUGAGAAACCCUAGAUGAAGAUGGAGGGGGGGGGGGUGCCUCGAGGGAGAAGGCCAACUUUCCCUAGGAAGAAGAGGAAGCAGGCAUCCGACGGAGUUAGCAGCGACGGCGGCGGCUGCGCGCGGUUCUGGCCGUCUCUUGUGACCGCGGCCGCGUCUCGUCUCUCUUUCGCACGAGGCGUGUGAGCCGCGAGGUACCCCUCGAUGCUAGGAAGCCCCAUGGAUCGGGGAGGAACGGAUGGGAUAUUCGGGGCUGACCCGGUUGGAGCCCAGUGCGCCAAACGGUACUCUUGGGCUUUUAGGGUCUUUUAAGCCCGACGGGGAAAAUCCACUAAAAACCCCUUUGAUCCCGGUGUCCCAAACAAGGCCUCAGCACGAAUGGGUUUUCAAGUCUGAAAGUGCAACUAUCCCUGGGUGGUUUUGGUAAUUCGUAACAACAUAUAGCUCAUUGAGCUAAUGCUAUUUUAAAAUAAAUAUUUCAGGGAAGCUCAAUGAUUGGCAUGGCAUGGAUUAGAAAAUAAACCCCUCAAAAUGCUAAGGACAAAAGAUUGGUUCAAGCUCAAAGCACAAGACUCUACAUUUUAUUUUUAGUGAUCCAAGAUCACAUUAAGUCCAUAGGAAAAGACAACACUAUUAGAAGGGGGUGAGGUGUUGCUUAAUGAGUUACUUACUCGAAAUGCUUAGUGAUAUGCUUCAAAAAUCCUCAAUUACUUUCUCAUAUCCACAUAUGUCCCAAACCAAAAAUCAAACUCGGCCCCACCAAAAUCUUUUAUCCGGCGCCACCGAGCUCACUUGACAUAGCCACUGCCACAAACCCUAGUCACUUCGGUCUCACCGAUAGGGAUUUCGGUCUCACCGAGAUGGGAUUGCAACCUCUCUGUUUCUCUUUGUAACGUUUCGGUCCAACCAAGAUGAGCGAUCGGUCCCACCGAGAUUGCAAUGCAAACUCUCUGUUUCCCCUUCGUAACGUUUUGGUCUAACCGAGACGAGCGAAUCAGUCCCACCGAGUUUGCCUGACCAACUCUCUGUUUGUCUAUUACCAAAAUCGGUCCCACCGAGUUUGUGUAAUCGGUCUCACCAAGAUUACGUUAUGCCCUAACCCUAAUAGAAUCAGUCCCACCGAGUUGACAUGUCGGUCCCACCAAAAACCUUAACGCUCACAUUUUGAACUAAAUCGGUCUGACCGAGUUUUAUAAUUCAGUCCAACCGAGUUUGGUGAUUUGUGUGUAACGGUUAGAUUUUGUGUGGACGCUAUAUAUACCCCUCCACCCACUCUUCAUUCGUGGAGAGAGCCAUCAGAACAUGCCUACACUUCUAACAUACAUUUUCUGAGAGAGAACCAUCUACACUUGUGUUGAGGUCAAGAUAUUCCAUUCCAACCACAUAAAUCUUGAUCUCUAACCUUCCCCAAGUUGCUUUCCACUCAAAUCAUCUUUCUACCAAAUCCAAUCAUAUGAAAGAGAGUUGAGUGUUGGGGAGACUACCAUUUGAAGCACAAUAGUAAGGAGUCCAUCAUCAACACACCAUCUAUUACAUUUUGGAGAGUGGUGUCUCCUAGAUUGGUUAGGUGUCACUUGGGAGCCUCCGUCAAGAUUGUGGAGUUGAACCAAGGAGUUUGUACAGGCAAGGAGAUCGCCUACUUCGUGAAGAUCUACCCUAGUGAGGCAAGUCCUUUGUGGGCGAUGGCCAUGAUGGGAUAGACAAGGUUGCUUUUUCGUGGACCCUUCGUGGGUGGAGCCCUCCGUGGACUCACGCAACUGUUACCCUUCAUGGGUUGAAGUCUCCAUCAACGUGGAUGUACGAUAGCAUCACCUAUCGGAACCACACCAAAAAUCUCCGCGUCUACAUUGCGUUUACUUUCUCCAAACUCCUCCCUUUACCUUUAUAUGCAAUUGUUUUACAUUCCGCUGCUAUACUCUUAGAAUUGCAUGUGUAGAUUGAUUACUUGAAUUGUGCUAAGUUGCUAAAAUCUGCCAAGACUUAAAACUGGAAAAAUUCUAGAUUUUUAUUUGGUCAAGUAGUCUAAUCACCUCUCUCUAGACAUACUUUCGAUCCUACAAAGCCCCAAAGGGGCUGGGGAUUAUUGGGGAUUUGGUGAACCCCUCCCCCGCACCAAAUCCCCUCAAAUCCCCUUCCGCCUCCCAAGCCCCUUCCACAUCUAUCCAUAUAUGAGUGUUUCGCAUGCAGGGACAAAUUUGGUCCAUUUUUAACAUGAACUUCAACAACACACCGAUAAAAAUCCGAUCUUUACUACUGAACAUGCUGAAGCAUCAGUGGCCAUAUCAUCAAGUACUACUAAAACCAACAAAUCAUAAUCUUUAAGAUCAAUGGCAUCUAAACUAAGAACAUCAAAGGCCAUAUAACACGAUCAGAUCAUAGUUUAAACAUCAUAUGUCAAACACAGGCAUGCAUCAGCAUGUACCAACAACACCUAGGGUGCAACACAAA